UACGGAGGGAUCUAGCGUUGUUCGGAAUUACUGGGCGUAAAGAGCGUGUAGGCUGUUAUGUAAGUCAGAGGUGAAAUCCCCGAGCUUAACUCGGGAACUGCCUUUGAAACUGCAUGACUAGAGGAUGGGAGAGGACAGCGGAAUUCCAAGUGUAGAGGUGAAAUUCGUAGAUAUUUGGAAGAACACCGGUGGCGAAGGCGGCUGUCUGGACCAUAUCUGACGCUGAGACGCGAAAGCGUGGGGAGCGAACAGG
Molecule: ribosomal RNA, 253 nt
Filed under: uncultured Alphaproteobacteria bacterium
Lineage: Bacteria; Pseudomonadati; Pseudomonadota; Alphaproteobacteria
Description: partial 16S ribosomal RNA
Rfam family: Bacterial small subunit ribosomal RNA
Source: RNAcentral